UUGACCUCGGAUCAGGUAGGAAUACCCGCUGAACUUAAGCAUAUCAAUAAGCGGAGGAAAAGAAACCAACAGGGAUUGCCCUAGUAACGGCGAGUGAAGCGGCAACAGCUCAAAUUUGAAAUCUGGCUCUCGGGCCCGAGUUGUAAUUUGUAGAGGAUACUUUUGAUGCGGUGCCUUCCGAGUUCCCUGGAACGGGACGCCAUAGAGGGUGAGAGCCCCGUCUGGUUGGAUGCCAAAUCUCUGUAAAGUUCCUUCAACGAGUCGAGUAGUUUGGGAAUGCUGCUCUAAAUGGGAGGUAUAUGUCUUCUAAAGCUAAAUACCGGCCAGAGACCGAUAGCGCACAAGUAGAGUGAUCGAAAGAUGAAAAGCACUUUGAAAAGAGAGUUAAAAAGUACGUGAAAUUGUUGAAAGGGAAGCGUUUAUGACCAGACUUGGGCUUGGUUAAUCAUCUGGGGUUCUCCCCAGUGCACUUUUCCAGUCCAGGCCAGCAUCAGUUUUCCCCGGGGGAUAAAGGCGGCGGGAAUGUGGCUCUCUUCGGGGAGUGUUAUAGCCCACCGUGUAAUACCCUGGGGGGGACUGAGGUUCGCGCAUCUGCAAGGAUGCUGGCGUAAUGGUCAUCAACGACCCGUCUUGAAACACGGACCAAGGAGUCGUCUUCGUAUGCGAGUGUUCGGGUGUCAAACCCCUACGCGUAAUGAAAGUGAACGCAGGUGAGAGCUUCGGCGCAUCAUCGACCGAUCCUGAUGUUCUCGGAUGGAUUUGAGUAAGAGCAUACGGGGCCGGACCCGAAAGAAGGUGAACUAUGCCUGUAUAGGGUGAAGCCAGAGGAAACUCUGGUGGAGGCUCGCAGC
RNAcentral lists this ribosomal RNA (851 nucleotides) under Fusarium sp. PAB-2014a. Its description in RNAcentral is "eukaryotic LSU rRNA". It matches the Rfam family "Eukaryotic large subunit ribosomal RNA", at positions 1 to 881 of the family's 3401-position model. Lineage: Eukaryota; Fungi; Ascomycota; Sordariomycetes; Hypocreales; Nectriaceae. The record is from RNAcentral.